This 404-nucleotide ribosomal RNA is filed under the name uncultured bacterium. RNAcentral's name for it is "bacterial SSU rRNA". It matches the Rfam family "Bacterial small subunit ribosomal RNA", at positions 976 to 1380 of the family's 1533-position model. The record is from RNAcentral.
AGCGUUUGACAUGGUAGGACGAUUUCUGGAGACAGAUCUCUUCCCUUACGGGACCUACACACAGGUGCUGCAUGGCUGUCGUCAGCUCGUGUCGUGAGAUGUUGGGUUAAGUCCCGCAACGAGCGCAACCCUCGCCUUUAGUUGCUACCAUUUAGUUGAGCACUCUAGAGGAACUGCCGGUGAUAAGCCGGAGGAAGGUGGGGAUGACGUCAAGUCCUCAUGGCCCUUACACGCUGGGCUACACACGUGCUACAAUGGCGGUGACAGUGGGCAGCAAACUCGCGAGAGUGAGCAAAUCCCAAAAAGCCGUCUCAGUUCGGAUUGUUCUCUGCAACUCGAGAGCAUGAAGGCGGAAUCGCUAGUAAUCGCGGAUCAGCAUGCCGCGGUGAAUACGUUCCCAGGCC